GCGGCGAUUCGGAGUCGAAUUCGCCAUGACAGCGGCUUGGAAUUGUCCUUGCACUCGAGUCGGUCUUCGAGACUUCCAUUCGGGAGGUAUUCGUAAAUUAGGGCACACGAUUCAGGACAGGCUCCGAUGAGACUCACCAGGUUUGGGUGCCUCACCUUGCUCAGAAUUUCUACCUGCGCAUAUAUAUAUUUUUUGUCUAACAUUCUUAGCUAACCAUUAUUUGAAUUGACUAAUUUGAUAGCCACUAUCUUGUUGUCUCGUACCUCUUUAUUAAACUCGGAUGCCCCUUGCAAGCCAUUUGGGGUGAGUAAUUUGAUAGCAACUUGUGUAUAUUGGAGCUCAGCUCUGUAAAUGUUGCCGAAUCCGCCUUCUCCGAUCUUGACUGAUUCAUGGUAGUUGUUAGUCGCUUGUUCAAUAUCUGAUUUAGUGAACAACAAGGUUGCAGCUUCUGUCGAUGUUGAACUUGAUGCUUGCUCCGAUAUGCUCUUCUUCAGCUCCUCUGCUUCCUUCACCUCGUUAUCACGCUCUAUCUGUGUUUCAUCACGUUCUUUCUUGCACUUCUUCAGCACUUCUACGACAGAGAUGAUUUCCUGCUCCAAAUCCUUCACCUUAUGGGCUGUCUCUGCAAUUUGGUCCUGUAGCAGAAGCUUCUCUUCCAAGGCCUUGCCGAGUUCCCCUUUCCCUUUAUCUAAGGCCUCCUCUCUUUCUUUUCUCAGCUUCUGCUCUUCGGAAACAAGGUUCUCUAAUCCUUUUGCCUUCACAAAAUUGAAAGGUUAUUUUAGGUUUAGGAAUUCCAGAGCGCGAUGGGGUAGUAGGUUGACAAGAAGGAAGCAGUGGAGAAUGUUACCCUUUCUAUGGCCUCGGCAGCAACCUGUUCGGCUUUGGCUCGACGGAAUGCUUCGUCCAGCGCAUCUCUCUUCAAGCUUAUGAACUCUUCGAAGGCUUCUUUAUCAGCUGUGGCUUGUCUCAAUGCCUCAUCCAGUGAUUCCCUCUUUGGAAUUGGCUGAUUCCCCUUAGCUCGUUUUGGAUGGUCAGCAAGUGGUUCGUCAUGUGAGUUCAGCAGCUCCAUACUCAUCUGGCUUCCUUGCAACCUGAAAACGCCAUUAUUACUCACACUGCUUGAACUGGUAGUGAUCCUACCAGAAGAACACUGUGACAGGAUGUUGCUGUGUGGGCUUGAUUCAUGAUCAUUAAACUCGUUCGACACUUCUUCAGGAGUUGAUGGCACACGGAAGUAAUCAUCUAUGCUCGCUGUGGUGGACGCAGAUACACUUCUUCCUCGGUAGAAGUAACCAUGUACGAGGUCUAGGAAGUUGCUGCUCUGUCUAUGAACGGCUGACUGGGAUUUAGAAAGAGUAGUCGGUUUCUGCUCAUGUAAAUGGCUCAAGCUCAGUGGUUGACCGUAUGAUUCUAUGUAGUUGCUCAUGUCUGCGAUCCCUUCCCUGUUCCCACAUCAAUCAUGUUGUUCUGUUCAUUGAGUCAUUUUCAGAAACAACUAUAUGGAUUGUUGUCUAUUCAUUAAUUCGUUAAUUUGUUUGUACCUUACAUGGAUAAGACGACCUGUGCAGACGAAAUAGAUUCGACAAGCUACAGAAGCCUGGCAGUGGACUGAUAACGCCUUUCUGGACUUGAUCUGCAUCAUAUUCCUGCAUUUUGAACGGUGAGAAAUUAUACAGCAACUAAAUAUGAUGAGUGGUGCAUGCUUAUAAGUGGUUCUGCUCUUAUUUAUUCUACCUGGAAUAGCUUUUGUCAGAUGCCGCCCCCAUAACAAGUUGUCUAAUACCACAGUUAGAAAUGGUGUCCAGAAUUCCCUUCACAACUGAAUCGUUCUCAAUGAGCAACUUAUGAGCUUUGAACUGUGAGUCAACAAGCAAGGACAAAUCAAUUUUCGGUUUUGUCUGAAUAGCUAGCUAUAUGUAGGUGUUUAGAGGUGAGAUGAUUCAAUAGUGCAAGUGAGAUAAAAGAGUUUUGACAGUAUUGAUAUAUAGCACUGCAGGCUUACCCCCAUGCUGUUACAAAUGCAGAUGUAGUGAUCGAGUAUCUUAUGAGCUCCACCCCGUUCGAUCUCCUCGUCCUGAAUCCCAGAGCAUCCUCCAUUAGAAAGAGAUGGCGGUUGGUGAACGAGAAUGAGGCAGAUGUCGUCGGCGGCAGAAUGGUUGUGUAGUGCCCACAUCAACACAGACUUGCUGUCUUGAACAACCUUUCCAACUGCUACGUACACCUUUUGUCCAACUAGUGAUUUGCUCGACAU
Molecule: long non-coding RNA, 2251 nt
Filed under: Linum usitatissimum (flax)
Lineage: Eukaryota; Viridiplantae; Streptophyta; Magnoliopsida; Malpighiales; Linaceae
Description: long non-coding RNA (LUSI_LNC002440)
Source: RNAcentral